Molecule: ribosomal RNA, 252 nt
Filed under: uncultured bacterium
Lineage: Bacteria
Description: partial 16S ribosomal RNA
Rfam family: Bacterial small subunit ribosomal RNA
Source: RNAcentral
UACGUAGGGGGCAAGCGUUGUCCGGAUUUAUUGGGCGUAAAGAGCGUGUAGGCGGUUAGGUAGGUCCGUUGUGAAAACUCGAGGCUCAACCUCGAGACGCCGAUGGAAACCAUCUGACUAGAGUCCGGAAGAGGAGAGUGAAUUCCUGGUGUAGCGGUGAAAUGCGCAGAUAUCAGGAAGAACACCCGUGGCUAAGGCGGCUCUCUAGUACGGUACUGACGCUGAGACGCGAAAGCGUGGGGAGCGAACAGG